Molecule: ribosomal RNA, 242 nt
Filed under: uncultured bacterium
Lineage: Bacteria
Description: partial 16S ribosomal RNA
Rfam family: Bacterial small subunit ribosomal RNA
Source: RNAcentral
AGGGAGCGAGCGUUGUCCGGAAUUACUGGGUGUAAAGGGAGCGUAGGCGGGGAUGCAAGUUGGGUGUGAAAACUACCGGCUCAACCGAUAGUGGCACUCAAAACUGCAGCUCUUGAGUGAAGUAGAGGCAGGCGGAAUUCCUAGUGUAGCGGUGAAAUGCGUAGAUAUUAGGAGGAACACCAGUGGCGAAGGCGGCCUGCUGGGCUUUUACUGACGCUGAGGCACGAAAGCGUGGGUAUCGA